AGUGUUCAUCGUUCGCUCAGUCGUCGGCCGGCCGUCCAUCCGCGCACCGGUACACGUAUCAGUUUUGCCUCGCGCCGCAUCACUCGCCAGGAUCGCCAAGAACCAAGCGCGCACUCCCCCCGAAGACGUACGUGACGCGCGUGUUCUAGUUCGCACGUGCCACCACCGGUCGAUAGUGCUGCUACGUAUCGUCACCGGCGAACGGGCCAUGAAGGUGCGCCACGCCGAGGACGAAUUCAACGGCGCCGUCGGAGUCGGCAUCGCCGAGACGUCCGCGGACGUUCGGGUGGCCAAGCACUCGUGCGAGAAGCGCGCGGACACCGCCGGCACCACCGGUUGCCGCGACCGGUCCGCGUUCCACGGGCACGUGCCGCGCACGGACGUCGCGGGCUGCCAAAACUGCACCGUCGAGCAGCUACGCGUCCGCAAACCUCGACACCGGUCCGGAUCGUGGCCGAGGACGCGAUCGCUGAACGCCCCCAGCCCCGUCCAACAGUUCGGACCAUGUGGCCGUAUCAUGAAGAACUCCGCGAUGGUCAUAACGGUCCAGGAUCCGGCCAGCCAACGUCUUACGUGGUACAAGAAUCCACUGUCGGUGUUGGUGAUAAAAAAAGUUCGAGACAUGUCCGUGUUACCGCCGUUCAUACAACUCGUCAGAUGGCUGAUACAGGAGAAAAGCAUGAUUGUAUUCGUUGAGCACUCAGUGAUGGAAGACACUAUGCUCACUAGCAACUCAGGCUUUAUGGAAAUACGAGAGAAACUUAAGUCAUUCCAAGAUGGCAAAGACGAUCUGACCGAUAAAAUAGACUUUAUUAUUUGCCUAGGCGGGGACGGCACACUGCUCUAUGCUAGUCUAUUGUUUCAGAAAUCUGUACCACCAAUUAUGGCGUUCCAUUUGGGUUCACUUGGAUUUUUGACACCUUUUAAGUUCGAUAAUUUUCAACAGCAAGUGACCAAUGUACUAGAAGGACACGCUGCGCUGACAUUACGCAGUAGACUGAGAUGCAUAAUUGUUAGGAAAAAUGAGGAUAAAGAAAAACCACCAUUAAAUUUACUUGUGUUGAAUGAAGUAGUUAUUGACCGUGGGCCAUCACCAUAUCUGUCAAACAUUGACUUGUUUUUGGAUGGAAAACACAUUACAUCUGUCCAAGGAGAUGGUUUGAUUGUUUCAACACCAACUGGAAGUACGGCGUAUGCAGUUGCAGCUGGUGCAUCAAUGAUUCACCCAAGUGUUCCAGCUAUUAUGGUGACACCUAUAUGUCCUCAUUCUUUGUCAUUCAGGCCAAUAGUAGUACCAGCUGGUGUUGAAUUAAAAAUAAUGGUAUCACCAGAUAGUCGCAAUACGGCCUGGGUUUCAUUUGAUGGUCGUAGUCGGCAAGAGAUUUUUCAUGGUGAUAGAUUAUGUUGAGUCCAGAUGCCCGAUCAACCGCUUGGGUUUCAUUUGAUGGCCGAAAUCAACAGGAAUUAUGUGCAGACGAUAGCUUGCGAGUAACUACAU
RNAcentral lists this unclassified non-coding RNA (1498 nucleotides) under Sipha flava (yellow sugarcane aphid). RNAcentral describes it as "nAD kinase-like, transcript variant X3". The record is from RNAcentral. Lineage: Eukaryota; Metazoa; Arthropoda; Insecta; Hemiptera; Aphididae.